CAUAACUAGAAUUUUGCUUUACUAAUUGUGUCAUAGUUUGAUUUAGACUGGAUAAUUUCUAAAGGAUUCUUCUGUUGUAUGAAUAGAUAUAUGAACUGGGUUGGAACUGGGACAAUUUAGAACUUCUAGCACAAGGCAGAAACUUCAUGUUAUGAUAAAUGGCAGUGUUUCUGCCAGUUUAGUCAUGGUGCAUUUGAUUGAGAAAUUAGCUGCUGGUGAUACUGGAAGUUUAUCUGUAUCAAUACUUCAGAAGAUGAGCACCAUGUCUAAAAAGCUUAAAAGUCAUCCUGCUUUCUCUGAAUUGUUAGCCCAAUAUUCACAGAGCGGUUAUAGGUAUUAAAUUCAUUUUUGUUGUAAAUCAAAGCAUAUUGAUUCGUGAUACCAUUAUUGAACUUCUGAAAAAGCUUUGGAGCUUAUUUGUU
Long non-coding RNA from Humulus lupulus (European hop), 422 nucleotides. RefSeq lists it as uncharacterized. The record is from RefSeq and is a predicted model, not a curated record. The transcript has 3 exons. NCBI's taxonomy places the organism in Eukaryota, Viridiplantae, Streptophyta, Magnoliopsida, Rosales, Cannabaceae.